GACGAACGCUGGCGGCGUGCUUAACACAUGCAAGUCGAACGGUAAGGCUCCAGCUUGCUGGGGUACACGAGUGGCGAACGGGUGAGUAACACGUGGGUGACCUGCCCUGCACUUCGGGAUAAGCCUGGGAAACUGGGUCUAAUACCGGAUAGGACCAUGGUGUGGAUACUGUGGUGGAAAGUUUUUUCGGUGUGGGAUGGGCCCGCGGCCUAUCAGCUUGUUGGUGGGGUAAUGGCCUACCAAGGCGGCGACGGGUAGCCGGCCUGUGAGGGUGGACGGCCACAUUGGGACUGAGACACGGCCCAGACUCCUACGGGAGGCAGCAGUGGGGAAUAUUGCACAAUGGGCGGAAGCCUGAUGCGGCGACGCCGCGUGGGGGAUGACGGCCUUCGGGUUGUAAACUCCUUUCACCAUCGACGAAGGGUUUCUGACGGUAGAUGGAGAAGAAGCACCGGCUAACUACGUG
This 466-nucleotide ribosomal RNA is filed under the name uncultured bacterium. RNAcentral's name for it is "partial 16S ribosomal RNA". It matches the Rfam family "Bacterial small subunit ribosomal RNA", at positions 28 to 507 of the family's 1533-position model. The record is from RNAcentral.